RNAcentral lists this small RNA (29 nucleotides) under Bombyx mori (domestic silkworm). RNAcentral describes it as "ovarian small RNA-35736". Lineage: Eukaryota; Metazoa; Arthropoda; Insecta; Lepidoptera; Bombycidae. The record is from RNAcentral.
UGUCGGCGCAGCCCCUCUUGGGCACGAAA